ACACGUAGGAGGCUAGCGUUAUCCGGAUUUACUGGGCGUAAAGCGCGUGUAGGCGGCUCGGAAAGUUGGAUGUGAAAGCUCCUGGCUUAACUGGGAGAGGUCGUUCAAUACUUCCGGGCUUGAGAGUGGUAGAGGGAGGUGGAAUUCCGAGUGUAGUGGUGAAAUGCGUAGAUAUUCGGAGGAACACCAGUGGCGAAAGCGGCCUCCUGGACCAUUUCUGACGCUCAGACGCGAAAGCUAGGGUAGCAAACGGGAUUAGAGACCCCGGUAGUCCUAGCUGUAAACGAUGUAGACUUGGCGUCGGCGGGUUCAAAUCCGUCGGUGCCGAAGCUAACGCGAUAAGUCUACCGCCUGGGGACUACGGCCGCAAGGUUAAA
RNAcentral lists this ribosomal RNA (377 nucleotides) under uncultured bacterium. Its description in RNAcentral is "bacterial SSU rRNA". It matches the Rfam family "Bacterial small subunit ribosomal RNA", at positions 523 to 898 of the family's 1533-position model. The record is from RNAcentral.